UACAAAGAAGGAAAGAAGAAAGAAAUGCAUCUGGGCUUAGAUCCAAUUGGAUUACUGUCAACCCCAUCCAGCUGAGAAGGGAAAAGGCAGAUGUAUUGAUGGGCACUGAAAUGAGAUGGAACAAAAGACGACAACCUGAGCAGGGAAGAAAAGCAGGGGGACUGGAGAGCGUGUCCCAUGGGAAGUGUUGCUGCUGGGAGAAGGGGGAGCACCACAGGCCUUUGGAGGAGAGGAUGGUGAUUCCAGCAGAUCCUCUUCAUGGGAAUAAUGGCCUGGAGUUGAGAGGAUAAAGACAGAUGUGAGCCACCAUCGGCACUGCUUGGUGACUGCCUGCAUCUCAACACCCCGGUCUCCUCUUUCCAGGUAAGGAAAACCAAACCAUCGCAUCCCCACGUCCUUCUUGUCUGUUUCCCUUCAGGGAGCAGAGCCUGCUUGAGUGUCAGUGCCUGCAGCUGCAAAAGCAGUUCUCUGCAGCCCUCUAGUGCUUAUCAAACACAUGGAAGGAGCAGAGUUGGCAGCAGCCAUGGGGAAAAGGGGUGAGGAUUGCUCAGGCUCCGUGUCCUUCACCCUCCGUGGCUAUGGCUUUGCAGCCCAGCAGCGGUCCUGAGCCUUGGGAAGAGCCUCAUCCUGCAACAGGUAACCUUGAGCAGGCAGGAGGAGAUUUAGAGGCUCUCAAGGCCUCUGCCCCAAGGGACCCUGUACCACCCCUCGUCCUGUCCCUCCAUCCCUUGCCCAAAGCCCCUCUCCAGGUUUCCUGUAGGCCCUGGCUCCCCAUGGCUCAGCUCGGAGGUGAUGCUCAUCUGGGGAUGCAGCGGCUCAGCAGGAGCGUUUCCCCAGGGGUUCACUGUACCAUUUGUAUUUGUUAUUUCUUUUCCAGGGGAAGGCAGUGUAACUGUUCAAACAUCGUUCCUCCUUGCCACACUGGUGUGAAAUAGAGGCUUUUAUUUGCCAACAGGACAGAGCAUCCGCUGGUAUUUACCUGAGCAGCUUUAGUGUUUAGACAGGCUCCUGAUCCACAGAGCACGUUCCCAGCAGAGGUGUGCUGGGGUACAGGAAGAGCACGUUGCCCACACAAAGGGGAGAUUGGUUUUGUAUCACCAACAUCUGGUAUGGAAAUGAUUUAAUAACUCCACCCCAUGGAGCAUCACUGGGGGUUCAUUGUAAGUCCCAUCCCAAAGCGCAUCCUCUCUCCCCUUCUCCUGUGUGCCCUGUUAGCUCCAUGGACCCUUUUCCCAUGCCUUCAUCCUUCCUUUCUUAGGCACAUGCUGUAGUUCCCCACAUCCUACAGAAUCAGGGAUGAACACCAUGAUUUGGCCCAGUAAAGGGAAUGGGUUGGGAAAAGGGUACAGUUUAUUAGUCCCUUUUCUGACAGCUUUUGCCUAUUCAUGUUAGGCUCCUGCUGUGACAAAAAUACCCCAACUUGGGGAACUUUCUGCAUCUGUUUCACACUUCUACCAGAAACACUCCUCCAGUUCUCAUUAAAGUAAAAAAUCAACCUCUUUUGCCAAAUAACAGAUAGAAAACCCCUAAAAGUUAAUUAAAUGACAGUGGCUUUAAAGGCUCUUUUUGAUAACAUCCUGAAAAGCUGCUUUAGAACAGGAUUUCUCCCACAAAUCUCCAACAAAAGAAGUCGUCUGCAUACAGGAAUACUUGGAAGGAUUAAUUCUCUGGAGCUCCAGAGACAAACUGAUACCAGCUCCAUUGGAACAGCUCAGCUGGGCCUCAUAGCUGUAGGAUUAAGCCCUUCCCCAUCCCCACACUGAGGUCCACACGAGGCAGGCAAUGUGAGCCCCAUUGCAAUUCCCACUUUUCCCCACAAUCAAAUGGAAUUGGGUUUCUUUAAAGCGAGUUGCAUGGGUUUUGACUUCCUACCCAUCGAGGCUCUGAAAA
Pezoporus occidentalis (night parrot) is the source of this 1890-nucleotide long non-coding RNA. RefSeq lists it as uncharacterized. The record is from RefSeq and is a predicted model, not a curated record. NCBI's taxonomy places the organism in Eukaryota, Metazoa, Chordata, Aves, Psittaciformes, Psittacidae. The transcript is spliced from 3 exons.